Molecule: long non-coding RNA, 1583 nt
Organism: Fundulus heteroclitus (mummichog)
Lineage: Eukaryota; Metazoa; Chordata; Actinopteri; Cyprinodontiformes; Fundulidae
Exons: 3
Source: RefSeq, a predicted model, not a curated record
GAAUGCACCGCGGCCGCAGCUUGCUUAUGGACAGCGCUAACAGAGAUCACAGUGGGACCACAGAAGGAACCCAGGCCCUCAUCAACUGGCGUAUUCCCAAUGAGGGCCUAUUUACAGGCAGGAGGAACUCCUCCAAAACCGAAUGGCAGUAAGUAAUUUUUAUUUAUGUCUGCCUAAAUGUUUAUGUUCAGCUCUUGUGACACUAAACUUGUUUUCUAUUCAACUAGUGAUUUUGUGUGAUUUUGGCUACCAAAAGGGCCAAUAAAUGUUUGUCCCUUUUAGAAAAACUUGACAAGUUUUAAAUAAAAUCUAUAAAUGUUUUUCUUAUCUAAGUGAGUUUCUUUUGAGCAAGGGCACAGAGAAUUGAGAGGGGAAAGAAAACAAUUGUAACAGUGUAAAAAGACAUUUAUUUUAUACAAAUGAUUUUACUUUGGAACAGAGUCAAGAUGUAACAUGUUCAGAACAAUUAACAUAAGAUUUAAAACAAAUAAUUAACUUUUAUAAACACCAUGGACAAAGAGAACACCCACAAACAUACAAUUGAUAAAUAACAGGAAUGGAAAUUAAUUUACUGAUUUAAUUUGUUUUACAGGUAGUGGAAAAAAAAUUAAAUGAAGCAGCAUGUGUACAUAACUACAACUGAUCUAGGUUAGGUCACAUGUAGGCUUGUUCACUUAAACAUGCAGCCAGCACUGCCGGGCUGCCAGUCUGGCUCGGAGGCAGCUUCCAGACAGCUUGCUGUCUUCAGCCGCCGGAUGCCGUCCUCUUCUGGGUAAACCUCCUCAUCCUCCACGUCAAGCUGGUCCCCUGCCUCUAUACUAAUAUUGUGGAGGAUGCAGCAGGCGGCGAUUACUUUUGGGGCAAAUGUCGGGCGGACCUCCAGCGCCCUAAAGAAAAUGGAACGCCACCACGUCUUUAUAGCACCAAAGGCACGCUCAGUGAUGUUUCUUGCCUUGGCGUGGUGCCUGUAGUGGCGUGCCUCCACUUGGACUGUACCAAAUAUAAAAUAACUUGUAAUUUAGGACAAGAAGGUAAGAGAUCUUAAUGGCAACUGGCGGGCGAUAGGGCGUCAGGGAGGUGAUUGGGUCCAGGAGGCAUGGGAACGCACCAUUGCAGUGUAGAAAAAAAAUCCCUUAGGUGGGUAUAAAGCAUUUUUAUACAACGGAGAGCGCCACAGUACCAGUGAGUGAUGGACAAAGCCUACAUUGUCGAUGUAAACAUUCAAAAUCUUUCCCCGUGCGUCACACACACCCUGCAGGAUGAUUGAAGGGAAGAGUUUUCUGUUUAAAUAACAUUUCUUUUGUGGCUCUGCAGGUGGAACAAUUCGCACGUCACCCACCAAUGGCACCGACUGCUCCUUUGAGCGCCUCGAUCCCGGCAAGGCGGGCAAAACCAGCACCCACUCCCUCCAAAUCUUGUCUUUUUGGGAAGAAAUUUUUUUUUAAUGAUCCCCAUCAAGGAGUUCAUGACUCUGUGCACCACCUGGCACACAAGGGCAUCACAAAGAUGUCGGCUGUUUCCCUAUAGGAUGCACCGCCGCCAGCCAGAAGAGGGUCACCAGCACCUCUAUCAUUAUCCUCAUG